AUUUAAGUCUUACCUGCCCAAUGAAUAUUAAAUGGCCGCGGUAAUUUGACCGUGCAAAGGUAGCAUAAUCAUUAGUUUUUUAAUUGAAAACUGGAAUGAAUGGUUGGACGAGGAAAUAACUGUCUCUAUUAAAAUUUUAUUAGAACUUUACAUUUAAGUUAAAAGGCUUAAAUAAUUUUAAAAGACGAGAAGACCCUAUAGAGUUUAUAUAUUUUUAAAUUUAUAUUUGUUUUAGAAUCUUUAUUAAAUAUAAUAUUAAAAGUAUUUGGUUGGGGUGAUUUAAAAAUUGAUUGAACUUUUUAUAAAGUAAUACAUAGAUGAAUGAAUUUGUGAUCCAUACAUAAUGAUUAAAAGAUUAAAUUACCUUAGGGAUAACAGCGUAAUUUUAUUUGAGAGUUCUAAUCGAAAAUAGAGUUUGCGACCUCGAUGUUGGAUUAAAAUUAAUUGUUGGUGAAGAAGCUAAUAAGUUUGGUCUGUUCGACCUUUAAAAUUUUACAUGAUCUGAGUUUAAACCGGCGUGAGCCAGGUUGGUUUCUAUCUUUAAUAAGAUUUAAUAUUUUAGUACGAAAGGACCAAGUAUUAGUAAUAUUUAUUUGUUUAGAUUAUUAGUG
RNAcentral lists this ribosomal RNA (611 nucleotides) under Macrodactylus sp. BMNH 694770. RNAcentral's name for it is "partial 16S large subunit ribosomal RNA". It matches the Rfam family "Bacterial large subunit ribosomal RNA", at positions 1845 to 2762 of the family's 2925-position model. The record is from RNAcentral. Lineage: Eukaryota; Metazoa; Arthropoda; Insecta; Coleoptera; Scarabaeidae.